RNAcentral lists this long non-coding RNA (8154 nucleotides) under Aquilegia coerulea. RNAcentral's name for it is "long non-coding RNA (ACOE_LNC002140)". The record is from RNAcentral. Lineage: Eukaryota; Viridiplantae; Streptophyta; Magnoliopsida; Ranunculales; Ranunculaceae.
CAAACGUUACUGUUAAUGGCAAGAAGAUAGGGAGAUCGGUGGGAGCAAAAACAACAUACAAAUCAAAGAGGAAACUGAAUAAUCACACAACAACCAUAGGUUCUUCGAGCAAAUGUAUUGCAUCUUAAAAAAGAAAGAUAAAUGAAAGCAUAGAGAGCUCAAAAAUUGAGAAAGGAAUAUAUGAAAAAGAAGAAGAUGAAAUUGCUACUGUGAAACAAGAUCGACCAAAGAGAUGAGGGAAAAAGAGAAAUCUUGCAACAACCAGUGUUCUCCAAAUUGAUGCCACCACCACAACAAUUCGAAACCAAGAAACUCCACCAGAAAUACUACCCUCAUAAAUCCCAAAUCCUCUUCCAAUUAACAACUCAAUUCCCCCAACCGUGAUUGUAAACUCAGAAACAACAAUGAACAACCGUAUUCUCGAGGCAAUUUAUAACAUCAACCAUCUCACAGAUCUCGAAAAUUCUGAGGGGGUUGGAUCAAGUGCUGCAAUUACAAAUGUGUUGGAUACUACUGGAGAGGAGGACAAUGAAGAGGUAAGUUUCCUAAACCUUUUUCAAUUUAGCAACCAUACCUUAAAUUUCCCUUCUACAUCACAUACAUUGCUACCCCUAUCACAAUUAUGUUAUUGUAUCNNNNNNNNNNNNNNNNNNNNNNNNNNNNNNNNNNNNNNNNNNNNNNNNNNNNNNNNNNNNNNNNNNNNNNNNNNNNNNNNNNNNNNNNNNNNNNNNNNNNCCCAAAAACCAUGGCAGGAGCCUCCUUCUCCUGUGGAACUCAAACUUAGAUGUUCAAAUUCUUCUAAGUAACAAAGUAUAUCAUAACAUCCUCAUUUGUGAUCCCUUAACUAACAAAAAUGGAAUCUCUCUCUCUCUCUUCUAUGGGAGCCCCUAUCUUGACUCUAAAGAAAGUAGUUGGGAAAAUCUCAAACUUGCUUGUGAAACCUCCACCCACCCCUGGAUGGUCAUGGGUGAUCUUAACCUUAUUUUCUCCCAGACUGAGAAAACAGGUGGGUUACCUUUUGAUCCCGGGGAAAGUGCCUUUGCUGUUAGUAUGAUUCAACAAUUGGGACUUAUUGACCUAGGGUUUAGUGAUGGACCCUACACCUGGUGCAAUAAGAGAGCUGGUAAUGAAAACAUAAGGAAAAGAUUGGAUAGAGGUAUGGCUAACUCUUCUUGGAAACUAUGCUACCCUAAUGCUACUAUUUCCCACUUGACAGCCAUAUCCUUUGACCAUUGUCCCAUUUCUCUCUCUAUUAACCUUACUACUGAAAAUUCUCCUAAACCUUUUAAGUUUCACAGUAUGUGGACUAAAGACCUCUCCUACCACAACUUGGUAAAUUCUGCUUGGUCAAAUGGUAAAGAGCCCUCCCAUGGGAUGCAUUUGAUACCCCAACUAAAGGCUACUAAAAAAAGCCUUGAUUCUUAGGAACAAAAAAGUGUUUGGCAAUGUCUUUAGAGAAGUCACUUCUCUAUAAGACCAAAUCUCCCACCUUCAAGCCCUGCCCUACAAUGGUGAAAAUAAAACCAAAGAGAGAGUUUUGCUUCUCCAGUUGGAUGAAACUCUUUAAAAAGAGGAAGCUUUCUGGAAACAAAAAUCCAGUGAUAAAAUCAUCCAGGAAGGGGAUAGGAACACCAAAUUCUUCCACCUAACCACCCUCAUUCAUAGGAGCCACAACCACAUCCAUGCUAUCUUAGACAACUCCAACAACUGGGUCUUGGGGCAGAACAUGAUUGGUAGAACCCUUGUUGAGCACAACACUAAAAUUUUGUGCCCUAGACAAAUAUCCCUUUCUGAGGGACAAAAAGAUAAAAUCCAAUCCUUGUUCCCUAACUCCUUGGAUUCCAUAGACAAUGACUACCUCUCUUGCCCUCCCACCAUAGAAGAACUCAAAUUUAUUAUGGAUGAGAUUGGGCCUCUCAAAGCACCUGGGCCUGAUGGUUUUCCUAGCCUCUUCUACCAAGAAUCUUGGGACACCACCAAGUCGGAUCUCCUAGACUUGACCCAUGAUUUUUGAAAUAACAAUAUUUCUCUUGAGCAUAUCAAUAAAACCAAUAUUGCUCUAAUCCCUAAAGGCCCAAACCCUUCUCACCUUUCUGAGUUUAGACCCAUUAGUUUUUGCAAUGUGAUUUACAAAGUUAUUUCGAAGCUGAGAGAGUGAAAACCUUUCUCCCUAACAUCAUCUCUCCCCUUCAAUGUGCUUUUGUCCCUCACAGACAAAUUUCUGACAAUAUAAUCAUCACCCAUGAGAUCCUGCACACCAUGAAAAAUAAACAAGGUAUAGGAGGGUUGAUGGCCAUAAAAAUUGAUAUGUCUAAGGCCUUUGAUAGAGUCAAUUGGCACUGUCUAAUCCACAUUCUCUCUUGUCUAGGUUUCAAUGAUAACAGUGUUAAUCACAUCCACAACUCUGUGUCCACCAUCUAUUCUUCCAUCAUUCUCAAUGGUUCCCCUUAUGGCUAUUUCAAACCUACCUGUGGGCUCAGACAAGGAGACCCUCUAUCUCCUUCCCUAUUCAUUCUCUGCAUGGAGUUACUUUCCAGACUCCUCAAUGAGAAAUGUAACCAAGGAAAAAUCCAUGGGAUCAAGGUUGCUAGGAAUAGUCCCCCUAUCUCUCACCUCCUUUUUGCAGAUGAUAUCUUCAUCUUCUGUAGAGCUAAUUAUUGAAGCCAUUGAGCUCAUUGACUCCCUCCACACCUUUUGUGAUCUAUCAGGACAACAAAUCAAUUACUCCAAAUCUGGUGUCCUGUUUAGCAAAAAUACCUCCAACUACAACCAAAACACCAUUCAGACCAUCCUCCAAAUGAAAUCUCUUAAAAAGAAGCAACUAUACCUUGGUACCCCUUUGUUCUUGGUGGAACACUAAUCCUCCAUGUUCAAAAACCUCAUUCAAAGAAUUGAGAAAAGACUUUCAGGAUGGAAAGGGAAAGUCCUUUCUUAAGCGGGGAAGACUGUUUUAAUCAAAAGUAUUACCUCGGCCAUCCCCUCCCACCAAAUGACUUGUUUUAAAAUCCCCAAAGAGAUCACCUCUAAAAUUGAUGCUAUCCAAAGAGAUUUCUGGUGGGGUAAAGAAGAAAACAAAAGGAAAAUGUACCUCAAAAGUUGGGACUUCAUUUGUAGACCCAAAAGGCUAGGUGGUUUAGGCACAAAAAAGAUGGAAACCCAAAAUGAUGCCCUCAUCUCUAGAAUUUCCUGGAGACUUCUCACAAAAAAGGAAAAUUUGUGCACACAAAUUAUCAAGUCCAAAUAUCACAAAAACACCCCACUCCUCCACAGUUCCCACUCUACCAAUGCCUCUUGGUUCUGGAAAUCAAUCUCCAAUUCCAUCCAAAAGAUGAAUCCUUGCAUCUGCUGGGAGAUUGGUAAAGGGGAUGACAUUAACAUCUGGGAUGACAACUGGAUCCCUACCCUUCCCCUCUUUAAGAUUCCCCCUGACACAUCCAGGGCCCCCAACUUAAUUAAUGUUAGAGAUCUUCUCAUCCCCAACACUAAUAUUUGGAAUAACCCCCUUCUGGAGGCUACCUUCAACAUCGAUACUUGUCACCACAUUUGUAACAUCCACUUAGGGAGAACUCACCAACCUGACACUCCCAAGUGGAUGUGUACUAAGAAAAGAAAACAUAGUGUGAAAUCCAUGUAUUCCCAUCUUGCUUCUCCCCCUCACCUCAUUACAAAAAAUGGAAAAGUCAAUUUAAAAAUUUGGAAAACUAAGGCUGCCCCUCAAGCUAUUCUCUUUGCUUGGAAAUGCUUAAACAGAGUGGUACCCACAAGAGCUCACAUAGGCCAAUUCAUACAUAUCCCUACUAAGCUUUGCCCCAUGUGUAACCACCGUGAAGAAACCAUAGACCACAUGCCCACUCACUGUCCCUUUACCCAAGCUAUUUGAUUCCUAAGUAGAUGGUCCUUUAGACUCACACAUUUCACCAACAUGACUGCCAACCAAUGGAUCCACUCUUGGUUCUCCUUCCACAAAGACUGGUUACUCCCCAAAGAAAAAUGGGCUAGCCUUUGUGUAACUUCAACUUGGCAAAUUUGGAAGACUAGAUGUAUCAAAGUCAACCAGAACAUCACUAUUGAGCCUGGUACUGUGGCUAGACAGAUUGCAGAAAUCAUGUUUCAGUAUGACAAGGUCCCAAUGUAUCCUCAAUUACUUCCUCCACCUCCCCAGAACAAUGCUAUUGGGAUUCCCCAACCCAAAAACUUUCAUAAGCUCAAUAUAGAUACCCAUUUUACAGGUACAGAUCACAGGUUUGGUAUAGGCUUCAUACUAAGGAAUGCCAAUGAGAAAUUUGCAGGUGCUGGAAGCUGCUCAGGUACAGCAGGAUCCUCAGAUGAUGCAUGGGCAACAGGAAUACUGGAAGCCAUUCUUUGGGUGACCCAGCAACCAGUAACUGCAUUAGUGCUCAAAACCUAUGCUGUCAGGGGCGCCGCUUGAGCGCCGCUCAGCGCCGCCUAGGCGCUAUUUCUAAAGGAGGACGCUCCGCUGGGCCAACACAACGCCUAAAACGCCUUGGGCCGUCUGGGCGGCGCUCAGGUCCAGUGCUUUGGUCAGAGCGGCCCAUAGAAACGCGCUCAGGGAGGCCCAAAUCCAAGAAAGCCCGUAUAAAAAAUUAAAAAAAAAAAAAAAAAAAAAAACUCACUUCUUUCUCUCUCACCUCUUUCACGUUCUCUCUCUCUCACCUCCGCCUCUCUGGUUUCUCUCUUCUGCUACUUCUCUCCGGCUCUGCUGCUAAUUCAUAUUCAAAGCUAAUCAAAUCUUAUAAUCUUUUUCUAAUCUUCUUUAAUCAAACCAAAAUCUAAUCAAAUUUAUUUAUUUUUUUUAAUUUUUCAAAUCAAAUUCUAAUCUUUCUUUUUUCAAUUUAACUUCUAUUGAAAUGUUAAUCCCCCAAUUAGCAAUCCAAUUCUUUCGCUGACUAGUUAUUGUUAACCCCCCCCCCCCCCCCCAUUAGGAGGUUCUGGGUUGCAUUAAUGGUUCAGUGAUCACUUAUAGUUAUAAUUUAUAAAUUCAAUACAAAGUUACAAACAUAAUUAUCCAAAUCUCUUAAUGUUGGUCUUGAUCGGAGCGGCGUCUCAGCGCCGCCUGAGCGGUGGAGGCGGUUCCCAGAAAUCUGAGUGCCCGGCGCUCCGCUCCGCCCUUGACAGCAUAGCUCAAAACUGAUCAUAAGGGCGUUGCGGAUUUUCUCAAUGGCUAUGACAAUAACCUAUCUCCACGAUCAAUCACUAUUUUAAAUUAUGUACUUCAGUUUUUUUUUCUUUAUUUAAUACUAUUCAGGUGACUUUCACUGGCAGUACUGGGAACCAAGCUGCUCAUAUCCUUGCCUCUAGUGCUUGCAUAAGUGUAAAACCCGUUUAUAUUAUAAAUUUUUGUUCGUUAAAUUUUAUUGGAUUAUGAAAUAUUGCAUAGAUGUCUUUAAGGGUUUAGAGUUAAUUUUCUAUUAAGUUGAAGGAUGAUAUAUUAAUUAUUAAAAAAAAAGGUAGAUGGAAUUGGGUUGGGUAGCAGAUCCAUUUAUGGUCCUAAAAUAAAGCCCAUUAACUUCUCCAUAUUAUUUAUAUUAAAAUCUUAGGAUUUUUAUUCAUUUUUUUAUAACACCAUAUUUGGGAGAAGAAGAAGAAGAAGAAUUGGAAGAAAGCUAGAAGAAGAUUUGGAUUUUUAUGCUUAUACAAGUGUGUAGACGUUUUUUUUGUUUUUGUUUCUAUUUCUGUUUUCUGUGAUUUCAGAUUUUUACUCAUCUUUGAAAAAUCAUAGAAAAUUCGUUUGAAAAUCUUUUUAAUUGAUUCCAAAAACCCUGAACACUAGAUUGAAAUGUCUUCAUUCGAUUAGUUAAGACCAAUUUUCUAAAGUUAUGUUAAUUUGGUUAAAAACGACUUGCAAGUAUGACAACCGUUGCAGUUUUCGGUUUCUGUACCGUUUUAGUAUCGCAAGGUUUUGAUCCCUCUAGACUUAAUGAUAUUUAUUGAACAUUUUAUGGCAGUUAGAAUACUCAAUGUAUAACAGCAUAUAUAAAUUUCGGAAUUUACUGUUGUGUAAUUAAUUCUAAAUAAUUUAUUCAACGUAGUUAUUUUCAGAUAUCCAGUAUAAUUUUACUGCUACCUUUCUGUUUGCGUGGUUGUCAUAGAAAAAUCAUAGAAGACUCGUUACUCAACAUAUCUUGAUGAAUUUACUUGUUUUAGAAAAUAAACAUUCUAAACUAUAAUUUCUAUGUUUAGAAAUACUUUAAAUUAUGAGGCUAAUAUGGUGAAAAAUGCUCAGGAAGUCUGACGUAGAUUGUUUUGUGAUUUCUUUCUGAAAUCUGGUAGGAUGGAGUAAAACAAUUGUUUAAUUAUUUUUUAUAUAUCAAAACGCUUCCAUAUUUUUAUUUCAAGUAAUAUUUUCAUAGUAAAAGGUUGUAUUAAAGUUUUAUGAGAUUUGAGUAAUUAUGUUUAGAUGUGUGAAUUUUGAAAGAUGAAUGUUAUUGUUUGGCAGAUUUAUGUAAAGAGUUUUUUUUUAGCAUAUACUAAAAGUUUCUUUUGAUUGUCAAGUUGAAAUAGUCAUGUACUAAAAGUAUUCUUAAUAUUGAAGUGGAUUAGUAUAUAAUGGCAUGUGACUUGAUUAAUUAUGUUUAAAGUAACCUGGAAAGUUAUAUUGAUGAACGUCUAGAAAUGGCUCCAUACCAAUGGAUGGUAUAUGAAUGGAAACGAAAUGAAUACUGAACUUGGGAUUUAAUUAUGGAAUGAUUUGGAAUGGUUUGAUACCAUGGACGAUAUAUAUUCAAUUUGGGAAAUAAGAAUGGAAUACGAAAUGGACUUGGAAUUUAAUUGUUUGGCAAAGGUUGUGUGAUUGCUUGAUUAGUUUAGUUGUUUUGGUAGUCGCCCAAGCAUUAGUACAUUUGCCGCACCUCUGGAAUUAGGUUAAAGAAAUUAAUUAUCACCCUAGACGGCUUAGCCUGCGGGUUAACUCUUGGAUUAUAUUUGGGUAUUUUCUAAACGGCUUAGCCUGCGGAACUGACCCUUCAGACCUUCAUAGUCUUCGGGGUUGGUCUGGGCGCCACAUUAGAAAGCUCAAGGGAGCUAUUAGAGAUCAUGAGUUAGGCAUAUGUCGAGGCUAGCCAAAGCUUGCAGGUGAGCACCCACUUGGGUUUUGGUUUCCGCGUAGAGGUUCUUAACCAUGGUCAAGGCACACUGGUGCAGUGUGGGUAUGGCAAAUGUGUGGAGUGCAUCCUGUGGGAGGUGUACUAGUGAUUGGGUAUAUGUUGUGAUUUUUAUGAUUGUUAAUCCCGAGCACUGGCUAGAAGCCAGGACGUGGUUUUGUGACUUUAGAUUUGUUGUUUGGUAGUGUGGUAAGGCUUAUGAUAUUGUAGUGUUUGGUGUUACUUAAUGAUAUGGGUAAAUUUUAUAUAUUUUGAUUAUGAACUGGAGGUAACUAUGAUUAUGUGGAAGAACUACGAUAUUUUACUUAUUAUGGGUAUUAAUAGUCAUAAUUGGACUUGUCAUUUUGGUAGAUUACAAACUACGAAGAGUUGGAAUGAAUCAUUAUUAAUGGGUUGAAUGAACGGAAUGUAUUUUCAGGUUGAUACAAAGUAUUAGAUAACACGUAACGUGUAUGUGAUUUGCUUCAUCUUUAUUAUAUUUGUGUAUUAUGUAUUAAUUUCAUUUUGCAGGUGGAUAGGUCAACUAAUUUAUUUUGUGCAGGUGGAUAGACCUAUCCUUAAAGACAGUUGCUACUUAGGUAAUGUAUUUGUAUUAUCGAUCAAUUAACAUCGUAAAUAGAUAAAUUAGAAUUGAAUAAUAGGACUAAGCAUUUGAUUAAAUAAUGGAUAAAAGGUUUAAAUAUAAAUGAAAUUGAUAUGGUUUUUGGCGUAUGCUUAUUGUUUUAGCAUGAAAGAAUUGUUCUUUAAGAUUAAUUAUGUUGUUAAUCAUAUGAGGGAACUGUAUAUUUAUUAUGUUAUUUUGUGGGAAUAGAUUUCCCCCUUGUUUACUCAUACCAGUUUUUAUGCUGACCCAUGUUGCUUUGUUUUUGCACGUGGGUGUAUUCCAUUUGGAAUUCCAUUUGGAAUGCAUGCAGGAGAGGUUAAAGCUAUGGAGCUAUGACAGACCGCUUGUUGGGACCAGUAGAGAUCUUUAGAUGUUUCAUUCAUAUAUUUUGUUGGUGUAAGUUAUGUUGUAUAAUAGAAUGUAAUCAGG